CUCAAGGCCAAAUCCUGUUCGUACCCUCGCUGUGUGGCCCGAAACAUCUGGGUCGCUCCUCCACUCUUCCCGUGGAAAACUUGUUCGAGCCUUAUCAGUUCGAAGCAACAGGGUAGGAUAGGGCGGAGCCGCCGGUGUCCCCGGAGGUGGCGGUGGCAGCGGCAGAGGGGGUCGGCGAGGAUGGCCACUGGGGCGAGGAGGCGGAGCCGAUGACCCCGGCGGUGGCGGCGACAGAGGGGGUCGGCGAUGAUGGUCGAUGGGGCGAGGAGGCGGAGCCGAUGACCCCGGCGGCGGCGGAGGGGUCCCAGGGGCUCGAGGACCGACGUCUGAUGCGGCCGUGGUUCCUCGCCAUCAAGAGCUAGAUCGAGCGCACGACGGUGUAGCCGUCCAGAGGAAGAGGAAGAACAUCCUACGCCGGUUCGGCCGUGGCGUCAUGGAGGAGACGGAGAGAAAGGGCACCGGUGGCCCCGUGAAGGUCCAGGAGGUCGCCGCCUCAUCGUGCAGCGCGCGAUGGUGGACCGAUGGGCGUCGAAGAGGCACUUGACCUUGCCGGAUCACGUUGUUGCUGGCGUAAUCCAGGCCGGAUCUGUGGAGAGCCCGGCGCAGCACCGUCUACAGAUUGAUAAGGGCCGGACUUCAAUGACGAAUCUACUAUUCAGCACACAGCCCAACUCGACAGUCACUAGCCAUGUCAAUAGGCACUCAGGGGCAUGCUCGCCUCGGCGGUCAUCAAGGUGGCAAUAGGACACUUAAAUUCUGCCAUUUCAGGCGAGAUCAAGCUGCAUAGGAAUAUGAGGAACAAUCCGAUCUGGAGAACAUGAAGAUGACGCUGGAGUCGCUGGACGUUGUGCUCCGCGACGCUGAGAGGGAGUCUAUCAAGCAUAAGUCCAUGCUUCUAUGGCUGAAGCAACUUAAGGAUGCCGCGAACGACAUCUCUCACAUGCUUGAAGAUUUUGAAGAUGAAACUGACCUCAACCUGGUAUGCAAGAUUCUGAUUUGGUCACUAUCAAUCUUGAUCUGAAUGUUGUUGUUUAAUAACAUUUGAAUAUUUUUAGAUAGUGAACUACAUCUAAAACUUUUUAAUGUACUAAAGUAGAUCUGAACCUCACUAUGGGAGUUGAUCUUUGAGUCGAUGUGAAGUAAAAUCUACUUAUACUUGUUGAUGCCAA
Molecule: non-coding RNA, 1169 nt
Organism: Triticum urartu
Lineage: Eukaryota; Viridiplantae; Streptophyta; Magnoliopsida; Poales; Poaceae
Source: RefSeq, a predicted model, not a curated record